RNAcentral lists this ribosomal RNA (497 nucleotides) under uncultured bacterium. RNAcentral describes it as "partial 16S ribosomal RNA". It matches the Rfam family "Bacterial small subunit ribosomal RNA", at positions 28 to 507 of the family's 1533-position model. The record is from RNAcentral.
GAUGAACGCUGGCGGCGUGCCUAAUACAUGCAAGUCGAGCGAACGGACGAGAAGCUUGCUUCUCUGAUGUUAGCGGCGGACGGGUGAGUAACACGUGGAUAACCUACCUAUAAGACUGGGAUAACUUCGGGAAACCGGAGCUAAUACCGGAUGAUAUUUUGAACCGCAUGGUUCAAAAGUGAAAGACGGUCUUGCUGUCACUUAUAGAUGGAUCCGCGCUGCAUUAGCUAGUUGGUAAGGUAACGGCUUACCAAGGCAACGAUGCAUAGCCGACCUGAGAGAGUGAUCGGCCACACUGGAACUGAGACACGGUCCAGACUCCUACGGGAGGCAGCAGUAGGGAAUCUUCCGCAAUGGGCGAGAGCCUGACGGAGCAACGCCGCGUGAGUGAUGAAGGUCUUCGGAUCGUAAAACUCUGUUAUUAGGGAAGAACAUAUGUGUAAGUAACUGUGCACAUCUUGACGGUACCUAAUCAGAAAGCCACGGCUAACUACGUG